Molecule: non-coding RNA, 826 nt
Organism: Ictidomys tridecemlineatus (thirteen-lined ground squirrel)
Lineage: Eukaryota; Metazoa; Chordata; Mammalia; Rodentia; Sciuridae
Source: RefSeq, a predicted model, not a curated record
GGGAUUCAUUUCUUCACUAAAGUGCCUGGGGAAGUAGUAAUUAGUGUGGGGAGAGCAACACUUAUUCCAAUCCCUCUGGAGUUCCUAGUGGAAUCUGAGACUCCAAGGCUCUGGCCAACCCGCAAGCUGGAUUAGUUGCCGUUGACGGAGCUCCUCCAAUGAAAUCUUCUCUGCUCUCUGAUUUGGCGGUUCUUCCAAGCAAAUAUGACAGCCUUUUCUCCAGGCUCUUUUCUGCUUCUUUCCAUGUCCAUCCCCAGAGCCCCGCUCUCCAUCUGCAGUUUCUACAUCAGAACCUUUGCAAUCACCACCACCACUUCCAAGUCCCAUUCCAGCAAGUGUCUGAUUGCUACAAAGGUGACAUGGCAUUUUGGGACGAAUGCAAGUGUUGCUUGUUGAUUACAGAAGAUACUUAAGCCCAGUUUUUCCAGGUGGGGAAAUGUUAGAAUAAAUGCACUGUACUUUGUAGUAAAUAUAUAAUCAUGCUGACUUAGAUUGUUAUUUCUUUGGGACAUUGGUAAAUGCUUCCCCCCCCCCUUUUUUUUCAUUUAAUGAGAAGUAGCCUACAAAAUGUGUAAGAUGCUUUGGUGAAUUUAUAAUGUCCAUGAAAAAAAUAGUAUGCAAACUUUUUGUAUUAGGACUAGCCUUAGGUUUUUAUUUAUUUUAAUGAGAAAUUCCUUCCAGAAAUUUUACCCAUUAUCUUUAGUUACUAACCAAUCUGAUAAAGGUACAAUGAUAUGAUUUUUCUAAAGUAUAGCCAAGAGGAAGUCUUGCUUUUGUGAAAAUAUUUUGUAUAUGAAGUUAAUAUUAAUACAUGAUGUGCCAUGUA